Molecule: long non-coding RNA, 896 nt
Organism: Marmota flaviventris (yellow-bellied marmot)
Lineage: Eukaryota; Metazoa; Chordata; Mammalia; Rodentia; Sciuridae
Source: RefSeq, a predicted model, not a curated record
CCCAUUUUACAGAUGAUGAAGCAAGACACAGAGAGGCCAUUUGUCCCAAAUCCAGUGAAGAAGGAGAACUGGGGUUUGACCUGGGGCUUCUGAUGCCUAAUCUGUGUUACUCGAGGCCAUGUGCAUUUGUCCUUGUGCCACGGGGCUGGGACCUGCCUGCCUCUGCCGACACCGAGUGGUUAUACAGUGUGCCAGGACCAGCACUGGCAGGAACCCCGCCGGGUGGUCAGGGCCGCUGGGCUUCCUCUCGACGUUUCCCUACUGGUGGAGCCUCCGGCCUCCCCUCCACCUGCCCUGUUGGCUCUAACUGAACUGUUCCCAGCGCCUGGGGAAUAGGGACCGCCCCUGAGCACGGCCAUAGCCCGGCCACUGGAACCCCACCCAGGCCCCCGAGCAUGGGAGAGAUCAGUUUGUAGACCUCCUUCGGGUUCCCCAGGUCUUUCCUUUUGCUGGGUGGCUCUGAGGUCAACAUCAUGGUGAGUCCCAGCAGGUACACCCCCGAGUCCUAAGACUGGAGUCUGAGAGGGAAGAUCGUGGUAACCAGAGUCAUUGUGAUGAAUGCACGGUUACAAAUGGAGGAGAACAAACCCAGGCAAACCUCCCUAACAACAAGACAGAUGGCCCAAUUACCUCUGUCACACUGGCUGAUGGAAGGACAACUACCAGAUAUGCAACCAAACAUCUUAGAACAGCGACCCCCAGGUAUGUGGCCAGAGGAGCUCAGGAGCCCGAGCCAGUUCAACCAAGAUCAGCCGAGCCUGCCCCAGAGGAGCAGAGCGGUUCAUCCAGCAAUAGCCAACACUUACUGCUUAAAGCAAGCAUUGGCCAACAGCGGCCUGUUGGCCACCUGUUUUUAUUUUACCUAAAGUUUUAUUAAAAUGCAGCCAUACCAUUUA